Chelonoidis abingdonii (Abingdon island giant tortoise) is the source of this 79-nucleotide unclassified non-coding RNA. The record is from Ensembl. NCBI's taxonomy places the organism in Eukaryota, Metazoa, Chordata, Testudines, Testudinidae.
AUCAGCUUUCCAAAGAGAAUUUUUCAAUCACAGAAGUAAGUUGUUCUCCAGAAUCAGCUCUCUAUUGAAAGGUCAAAAC